Molecule: ribosomal RNA, 497 nt
Filed under: uncultured bacterium
Lineage: Bacteria
Description: partial 16S ribosomal RNA
Rfam family: Bacterial small subunit ribosomal RNA
Source: RNAcentral
GAUGAACGCUGGCGGCGUGCCUAAUACAUGCAAGUCGAGCGAACGGACGAGACGCUUGCUUCUCUGAUGUUAGCGGCGGACGGGUGAGUAACACGUGGAUAACCUACCUAUAAGACUGGUAUAACUUCGGGAACCCGGAGCUAAUACCGGAUAAUAUUUUGAACCGCAUGGUUCAAAAGUGAAAGACGGUCUUGCUGUCUCUUAUAGAUGGAUCCGCGCUGCAUUAGCUAGUUGGUAAGGUAACGGCUUACCAAGGCAACGAUGCAUAGCCGACCUGAGAGGGUGAUCGGCCACACUGGAACUGAGACACGGUCCAGACUCCUACGGGAGGCAGCAGUAGGGAAUCUUCCGCAAUGGGCGAAAGCCUGACGGAGCAACGCCGCGUGAGUGAUGAAGGUCUUCGGAUCGUAAAACUCUGUUAUUAGGGAAGAACAUAUGUGUAAGUAACUGUGCACAUCUUGACGGUACCUAAUCAGAAAGCCACGGCUAACUACGUG